RNAcentral lists this ribosomal RNA (404 nucleotides) under uncultured bacterium. RNAcentral describes it as "bacterial SSU rRNA". It matches the Rfam family "Bacterial small subunit ribosomal RNA", at positions 29 to 424 of the family's 1533-position model. The record is from RNAcentral.
AACGAACGCUGGCGGCGCGCCUAAUACAUGCAAGUCGAGCGAGAAGGUGUAGCAAUACACUUGUAAAGCGGCGAACGGGUGAGGAAUGCAUGGGUAACCUACCCUCGAGUGGGGAAUAACUAGCCGAAAGGUUAGCUAAUACCGCAUACGUUUCCGGAACUUCGGUUUCGGAAAGAAAGCAAUACCGUGGGUAUUGCGCUCCUGGAUGGGCUCAUGUCCUAUCAGCUUGUUGGUGAGGUAACGGCUCACCAAGGCUUCGACGGGUAGCUGGUCUGAGAGGACGAUCAGCCACACUGGCACUGCGACACGGGCCAGACUCCUACGGGAGGCAGCAGUAAGGAAUAUUGCGCAAUGGACGAAAGUCUGACGCAGCGACGCCGCGUGAGUGAUGAAGGCCUCGGGUU